GAUGAAGAACGCAGCGAAAUGCGAUACGUAAUGUGAAUUGCAGAAUUCAGUGAAUCAUCGAAUCUUUGAACGCAUAUUGCGCUCUCUGGUAUUCCGGAGAGCAUGCUUGUUUGAGUAUCAGAAAACACCUCAACUCCCUUUUCUUUUUUGAAAUUGGAGCUGGACUUGAGUGAUCCCAACGCUUUCUUCCAAGAAAGUGGCGGGUUGCUUGAAAUGCAGGUGCAGCUGAACUUUUCUCUGAGCUAUAAGCAUAUCUAUUUAGUCUGCCUAAAAAACAGAUUAUUACCUUUGCUGCAGCUAACAUAAAGGAGACUAGUUCUUGUGCUGACUGAUGCAGGAUUCACAGAGACAGCUUCGGCUGACUUUGUAAACUCGAUCUCAAAUCAAGUAAGACUACCCGCUGAACUUAAGCAUAUCAAUAAGCGGAGGA
This 430-nucleotide unclassified non-coding RNA is filed under the name soil metagenome. RNAcentral describes it as "partial contains 5.8S ribosomal RNA, internal transcribed spacer 2, and large subunit ribosomal RNA". The stretch from base 1 to 120 matches the Rfam family "5.8S ribosomal RNA", at positions 35 to 154 of the family's 154-position model. The record is from RNAcentral.